RNAcentral lists this ribosomal RNA (158 nucleotides) under Syntrichia sarconeurum. RNAcentral describes it as "5.8S ribosomal RNA". It matches the Rfam family "5.8S ribosomal RNA". Rfam says of the family: 5.8S ribosomal RNA (5.8S rRNA) is a component of the large subunit of the eukaryotic ribosome. It is transcribed by RNA polymerase I as part of the 45S precursor that also contains 18S and 28S rRNA. Lineage: Eukaryota; Viridiplantae; Streptophyta; Bryopsida; Pottiales; Pottiaceae. The record is from RNAcentral.
AAAAAACUCUCAGCAACGGAUAUCUUGGCUCUUGCAACGAUGAAGAACGCAGCGAAAUGCGAUACGUAGUGUGAAUUGCAGAAUUCCGCGAAUCAUCGAGUCUUUGAACGCAAGUUGCGCCCGAGGCUUGACCAAGGGCAUUUCUGCCAGAGCGUCAC